UCAUACAAGCAACCUCUCUCUCACUUUUUCCCUCUCUCUCUCUCACACACAGUCUCAGACAUUUGACACACAACCUACAUUCUCACGUGCCCCCAGACACAUACACCCUUGAACACAUUCUGGCUGAUGACACGCUUGCUGCCUAUGUGCAAAAACACACACCAGCUCACGUAACACUCACACAUCCACACAUUCACACGCACUCAUACUUUCCCUCUCUGUCUCUCUCUCUCACACACACACACUCAGUCUCUCUCUCACCUGCACAACAUGCUUCUGGCAGAGCACCCGCAGCUGUACUAACCUGCCCGCCUUUGUUCCCAGGCCUGGCCUCAGCAGCAUUUUCCCAGGCCCAGGCUUCCUUUAGCUGCUGCUUCCCUGUUUCCCUCUGAGCCUGGUCACUGGGCCCUGACUCAACACCGGUACGUGUCAGGAGUCGUGCAGCGUCACAAGCCCUGCUGGAUGUGAACACGCUGUCCCGACAGUGUUGUUACCGGUUGUAAGACGCCUCUCCUACUGACUCCUCAUUCCUGCUGGCAACCUUUACUUCCAAAUAGUAAAGAAUCUGCCUGCAAUGCAGGAGACCCGGGUUCGAUCCCUGGGUCGGGAAGAUCUUCUGGAGAAGGGAAUGUCGAUCCACUCCAGUGUUCUUGCCUGGAGAAUCCCACCAACAGAGGAGGAGCCUGGCGGGCCACAGUCCACGGGGUUGCAAAGAGUCAGGCACAACUGAGCAACUAACACUUUCACUACUACCAUAUUGCUUUGGGUACAUCCUGUCUGGUGUUCCUAACUCCUGCAGAGGCUGCCAGUCUGCUUCCACCACAUUUUUCCCAUCCACACCCCCAGUGAUAUUCACCCACAUUUCUCCCAGCUCCCCAGCACCCCCACACUGCAGGAUCCAUCCUUGUGAAUGUCUCCUUGUGUGGCCUGUGUGAGAGUUUAUCUGAGAUAAGCAUCCCCUCUGAUCUAUUAGCUGUAUCCUUCAGGUCUUAUUGUCUGACUCUUUUUGACCCCAUGGACUGUAGCCUGAGAGGCUCCUCUGUCCAUGAGAUUUACGAGGCAAGAAUACUGGAGUUGGUUGACAUUUUCUUCUCCAG
Bos taurus (domestic cattle) is the source of this 1097-nucleotide long non-coding RNA. NCBI's taxonomy places the organism in Eukaryota, Metazoa, Chordata, Mammalia, Artiodactyla, Bovidae. The record is from Ensembl.